Molecule: ribosomal RNA, 680 nt
Filed under: Bacillaceae bacterium HP29o
Lineage: Bacteria; Bacillati; Bacillota; Bacilli; Caryophanales; Bacillaceae
Description: bacterial SSU rRNA
Rfam family: Bacterial small subunit ribosomal RNA
Source: RNAcentral
GAUUUGGGAGCUUGCUCCCAAAUCUUAGCGGCGGACGGGUGAGUAACACGUGGGCAACCUGCCCUGCAGACUGGGAUAACUCCGGGAAACCGGAGCUAAUACCGGGUAAUACAUAGCACCGCAUGGUGCAAUGUUGAAAGUUGGCUUUCGAGCUAACACUGCAGGAUGGGCCCGCGGCGCAUUAGCUAGUUGGUAAGGUAAUGGCUUACCAAGGCGACGAUGCGUAGCCGACCUGAGAGGGUGAUCGGCCACACUGGGACUGAGACACGGCCCAGACUCUACGGGAGGCAGCAGUAGGGAAUCUUCCGCAAUGGACGAAAGUCUGACGGAGCAACGCCGCGUGAGUGACGAAGGCUUCGGGUCGUAAAGCUCUGUUGUUAGGGAAGAACAAGUACCGUUCGAAUAGGGCGUACCUUGACGGUACCUAACCAGAAAGCCACGGCUAACUACGUGCCAGCAGCCGCGGUAAUACGUAGGUGGCAAGCGUUGUCCGGAAUUAUUGGGCGUAAAGCGCGCGCAGGCGGUCUUUUAAGUCUGAUGUGAAAGCCCACGGCUCAACCGUGGAGGGUCAUUGGAAACUGGAGGACUUGAGUGCAGAAGAGGAGAGUGGAAUUCCACGUGUAGCGGUGAAAUGCGUAGAUAUGUGGAGGAACACCAGUGGCGAAGGCGCUCUCUGUCUG